AUGGCAGUGACAACUCAGUUGACAUGGAUGCAAGAAAAGGUUCUGCAAAACUGUUUUGGAGGAAAGCAGUUCAGCCUUCUCUAUAAGGCUACAAUCCAUGGAUCCUCCAGUGGAGACUUGCUUCAGCGAUGCUCUAAUCAAGGACCAACUAUAACAGUGAUUUAUAGUGAAACGUAUAUUAUUGGGGCAUAUGUGCAAGAGAGUUACCAGCAAAUAAACAAAGGUUCUGUCAUCCUUUUUUCAUUCCAAAGGACUGAAAAUUCAGAAUUUGAAAUAAGACGAUUUAAGGCAUGUACUAACAAUGAUGUUGAUGGACAAAGAUGUGACAGAAACAUAUUAUACUAUGGCAACCGUGACUUAAAUAUAAAUAUAUAUACGUGUUACAUAUCUAUGAGUUACAAUAUAAUGAAAGAAAUUGGAUUACCUCUAGGUGAUAUCUGUUUUCAGGAAUGUGAGGUUUUUCGAUGUGAAGAUUUAUUGGAUCAAAGAAAGAUAAAUAUGGUCACUGAGCUCAGUAAGAGCUUAUCAUCUGACAUGAGAACUUACAACCCAUGUAGAGGUUUGGUUCACCAAAUACGAAUACUUCUCCUGGGUCCAACUGGAGCUGGAAAGUCUAGUUUUAUUAACUCAGUGAAGUCUGUUUUCCGAGGCCGUGUAACUAACCAGUCUGUGAUGGGCUUUGAUACAAAGCAGUUCAGGACAUAUUCCAUUAAGGAUGGGAAAGAUGGGAACCCCCUACCAUUUGUUCUAUGUGAUUCAAUGGGGCUGGGUGAGAAAGAGGAGGGGCUGUGCAUUGAUGACAUAUUCUACAUCUUAAAAGGCCACGUUCCUGACAGAUACCAGUUUAAUUCUAUAAAACCAAUCACACCAAGCCAUGUUAAUUACAUUGACUGUCCAUUGCUGAAGGACAGAAUUCAUUGUGUGGCAUUUGUGCUGGAUGCCAACACUGUUGAAAACCUCUCUCAGGAGAUGGUGGCAAAGAUCAAAAGAACUCGAAGGGAAGUGAUAAAGUGUGGUGUGGUACAUGUGGUUUUGCUCACUUAUGUGGAAGAUCUACAUCUGAUUACGAAAGCUGACCUUGUAGACCCAUACAGAUGUAUGCCUGUGAAGUUCAAGAUAGAGGCUGUCCACAGAGAACUUGGUUUUCCUCUUUCUGACAUCUUCGUGGUUAGCAAUUAUACCUUAGAGUGGGAGCUGAGCCUUUCAAAGAACUUUCUGAUCCUCUCUUCACUGAAGCAGAUGCUACGGGCUGCAGAUGACUUCUUAGAGGAUUUGCCUCCUGAGGAAACAGAUGGAAUUUUAAAAUGACCCUCCUUCGUCAUUCCUAAUGUUUGAACAUGGCAAGCUGUAUCCCUACCCUUUUCUCUCAGAAUGUGCUUCUUUGCUUGGAACCUACAACUGGAUUGGAUCAGGGUUAUUCCUGAUUAGAUGUGUGACCAGAAGGAAAAAACAAUCAAAUGUAUAAAACAUUUCUCAGAGAUCAGAAGAAAGAAAAAAAAAAAAAGAAGAAGAAAAAUGUAUGAGCUUGACUUCAUGAAUAAUUUUUAUCUCAUCAAAUAGUGAAGUUGAGAAAUGAGAUAAUACAGGAAAAAGAGAAGUAUCUGCAACUGAAGGAGUGCAUUUUAUUUAUGUCUAAGAUGAAGAUACACAUAAAAUCAUAGCACCUGUAAUAACUAAGAAUAGCACAAGUUAGUCAUUUAGUGUGACACACAACCAUAAUUUCUUUUGGAUUUAUAUCCUGUAUCCUGUGAAAAAAUUAAGGUUCUUCAUAUAAAACCCAAGGCUGACUUCCAUUUAUUGAACACCAAUUCAUUUUAGCCUUAUUCCAAAGGGGUAUGCAUGUGUGUAUGUGUGUGUGUGUGUGUUUAUGAAAGAGAGAGAGAAAGAAAGAGAUUAUGUGCUUGUACAGGUGUGUGUGAGAUCUUGGAAAAUUUUUUUUUUUUAAAUAUGGCUUGUCAGUAUCUCUGAUCUUCACCCACUUUGUCUUAAUUUUGCCUUCUUAAUUUGUUUUGAAAGAACUGUAUUUUCGUCUGUUUGGGUGUCCAUCUAAUGUGUUAUUCUUUCAUCUUAAAACUAAAGCCAUGUUUGUUGAAUAUCUUGACUCCUCUUCCAGGAUAUGAUGACUAAUAUUAAUAAGAUUUCUAUGGAACUCAAGCUGAAAGGGACUAUAAUCUGAUUACUUUAUCAGUUAAGAGGAUUUCAGUUACUAGCAAUAAAACUCAGCCUUCACUACCGGAAUAAAAAAGAGGGCUACUGUAUCGGAUCAAAUAAUCAAACAAUAGAAAGGGCUAGGAUUGAGCUGACCUCAGAGAUUAUUGAAUUUAGGAACUCAAAGCUAUUACGUUUCUGUUUCUUUCUCUCAUAUAUGGCCAGGGUGGGGGUGAUUUAUUAUCAGAGAAAGAAGUUAAUCACGGACAUGGCUAAAAUUGGAUCGACGGAGUCAUAGAGCUUGCACAUGGUACAUUGUAAUGGGUUGAAUAAUGGCCCUUCAAAAAGAUUAUUUUCACCCAGAACUUCAGAACGUGACCUAUUUGGAAUAAGGAUCUUUGCAGAUAUAAUUAAGGUAAGAAUCUUGAGAUAAGAUCAUCCUGGAUUAGGGUGGGCCCUAAAUGUAA
This is an RNA transcript of Trichechus manatus latirostris (Florida manatee), 2615 nucleotides long. It is a transcript of the gene named interferon induced protein 44, with no coding region annotated. Lineage: Eukaryota; Metazoa; Chordata; Mammalia; Sirenia; Trichechidae. The transcript is spliced from 9 exons. The record is from RefSeq and is a predicted model, not a curated record.